This 253-nucleotide ribosomal RNA is filed under the name uncultured bacterium. Its description in RNAcentral is "partial 16S ribosomal RNA". It matches the Rfam family "Bacterial small subunit ribosomal RNA", at positions 524 to 776 of the family's 1533-position model. The record is from RNAcentral.
UACGGAGGGGGCUAGCGUUGUUCGGAAUUACUGGGCGUAAAGCGCACGUAGGCGGCUUUGCAAGUUAGAGGUGAAAGCCCGGGGCUCAACUCCGGAAUUGCCUUUAAAACUGCAUCGCUAGAAUUGUGGAGAGGUAAGUGGAAUUCCUGGUGUAGCGGUGAAAUGUGUAGAGAUCGGGAGGAACACCGGUGGCGAAGGCGGGUCUCUGGGCAUCUCCUGACGCUGAGGCGCGAAAGCGUGGGGAGCAAACGGG